Molecule: long non-coding RNA, 621 nt
Organism: Anser brachyrhynchus (Pink-footed goose)
Lineage: Eukaryota; Metazoa; Chordata; Aves; Anseriformes; Anatidae
Source: Ensembl
AGUCCUUAUUGCCCUUCAAAUGCACACAAACACACACAAAAAAAAAGUUUUCAAGUAAGGUCCUUGAAAAAGAGGAAGGCAUUAGCUCGAAGUGACAAUUCCCAUUGGAGGCAGAGCAUCAGAAAACAUACGUGGGUGCAGCAGCUUUCCCUAGGGUGGACCUGUGUCCAUGCACACAGCCCAGCCCUUGCCUGCCACCGGACAGAGCAGACCACGGCAUGUAAAGAAGAGCCCGAGGAGCUGGGGUGCCCCCUGAAACUUUCUCCCCGACCUCUGCUGCGGGGUUUGUGUCUGUGUGCCAGGGAGGGGGGAGAGAAGGAGACCUAGUGCAAAGGAGAGCAAGCAAGGAAGCCAGGAGAGAGAAGGGAGCUUGCUUCAUGCACUGCUGAAGACUGUCAGAGGCAGAGCGCACCAGCAGCUCACUGGCUGUGGUGCAAUUUAAGGGACGCCGUUUAUUGACUUUAUUCAUUAAAUUGCUGAAGGACAGAUAUGACAUCUGACUACUGCUUCUAUAUAUUCUUGCUUAUUGGAACAAAGGGUAAGUACACCUGGCUUUUUUCUUUGAACAUUGCACAGAAUAUAGCUAAUAAACUUUAGUAGUAGCUUUUUUAAACUAUAAUA